UGUUAGCGGCGGACGGGUGAGUAACACGUGGGUAACCUGCCUGUAAGACUGGGAUAACUCCGGGAAACCGGAGCUAAUACCGGAUAGUUCCUUGAACCGCAUGGUUCAAGGAUGAAAGACGGUUUCGGCUGUCACUUACAGAUGGACCCGCGGCGCAUUAGCUAGUUGGUGGGGUAAUGGCUCACCAAGGCGACGAUGCGUAGCCGACCUGAGAGGGUGAUCGGCCACACUGGGACUGAGACACGGCCCAGACUCCUACGGGAGGCAGCAGUAGGGAAUCUUCCGCAAUGGACGAAAGUCUGACGGAGCAACGCCGCGUGAGUGAUGAAGGUUUUCGGAUCGUAAAGCUCUGUUGUUAGGGAAGAACAAGUGCGAGAGUAACUGCUCGCACCUUGACGGUACCUAACCAGAAAGCCACGGCUAACUACGUGCCAGCAGCCGCGGUAAUACGUAGGUGGCAAGCGUUGUCCGGAAUUAUUGGGCGUAAAGGGCUCGCAGGCGGUUUCUUAAGUCUGAUGUGAAAGCCCCCGGCUCAACCGGGGAGGGUCAUUGGAAACUGGGAAACUUGAGUGCAGAAGAGGAGAGUGGAAUUCCACGUGUAGCGGUGAAAUGCGU
Molecule: ribosomal RNA, 615 nt
Filed under: Bacillus pumilus
Lineage: Bacteria; Bacillati; Bacillota; Bacilli; Caryophanales; Bacillaceae
Description: bacterial SSU rRNA
Rfam family: Bacterial small subunit ribosomal RNA
Source: RNAcentral